GGAAGUAAAAAGUCGUAACAAGGUCUCCGUUGGUGAACCAGCGGAGGGAUCAUUACCGAGUUUACAACUCCCAAACCCAAUGUGAACGUUACCAAACUGUUGCCUCGGCGGGGUCACGCCCCGGGUGCGUCGCAGCCCCGGAACCAGGCGCCCGCCGGAGGAACCAACCAAACUCUUUCUGUAGUCCCCUCGCGGACGUAUUUCUUACAGCUCUGAGCAAAAAUUCAAAAUGAAUCAAAACUUUCAACAACGGAUCUCUUGGUUCUGGCAUCGAUGAAGAACGCAGCGAAAUGCGAUAAGUAAUGUGAAUUGCAGAAUUCAGUGAAUCAUCGAAUCUUUGAACGCACAUUGCGCCCGCCAGUAUUCUGGCGGGCAUGCCUGUCCGAGCGUCAUUUCAACCCUCGAACCCCUCCGGGGGAUCGGCGUUGGGGAUCGGGACCCCUCACACGGGUGCCGGCCCCGAAAUACAGUGGCGGUCUCGCCGCAGCCUCUCCUGCGCAGUAGUUUGCACAACUCGCACCGGGAGCGCGGCGCGUCCACGUCCGUAAAACACCCAACUUUCUGAAAUGUUGACCUCGGAUCAGGUAGGAAUACCCGCUGAACUUAAGCAUAUCAAUAAGGCGGAGGAA
This 629-nucleotide ribosomal RNA is filed under the name Trichoderma asperellum. RNAcentral's name for it is "eukaryotic LSU rRNA". The stretch from base 239 to 392 matches the Rfam family "5.8S ribosomal RNA". Lineage: Eukaryota; Fungi; Ascomycota; Sordariomycetes; Hypocreales; Hypocreaceae. The record is from RNAcentral.